AUACGGAGGUUGCGAGCGUUGUUCGGAUUUACUGGGCGUAAAGGGCGUGUAGGCGGGUGCGCAAGCCGGAGGUGAAAGCCCCAGGCUCAACCUGGGAAGCUCUUCCGGAACUGCGCGCCUAGAGAUGGUCAGAGGCAGGUGGAAUUCCUGGUGUAGAGGUGAAAUUCGUAGAGAUCAGGAGGAACACCGGUGGCGAAGGCGGCCUGCUGGGGCCAAUCUGACGCUGAGGCGCGACAGCGUGGGGAGCAAACAGGAUUAGAUACCCCAGUAGUCC
RNAcentral lists this ribosomal RNA (274 nucleotides) under uncultured bacterium. RNAcentral's name for it is "partial 16S ribosomal RNA". It matches the Rfam family "Bacterial small subunit ribosomal RNA", at positions 523 to 796 of the family's 1533-position model. The record is from RNAcentral.